This 22551-nucleotide long non-coding RNA is filed under the name Cucumis sativus (cucumber). RNAcentral describes it as "long non-coding RNA (CSAT_LNC001025)". The record is from RNAcentral. Lineage: Eukaryota; Viridiplantae; Streptophyta; Magnoliopsida; Cucurbitales; Cucurbitaceae.
GCCAUCCUGAGUUUCGCUGAGUUUCGUUUUCCCUGCGCCCCAGGAUCCUUAGUUUCAUAAUAAUUUUUAGUUUGUCUUUUUUCUUCAGUACUCUCUACUAUCCUCGUUCUCUCGUUCAAUCUCUCAACAUAAUUAGCUUCCUUUUAAGAAAAGAUGACGUGUCCAACCUCUGCUAUUGGAUUUGAAGGCUACGAAAAGAGGCUUGAAGUAUCAUUCUUCGAGCCUAGUGUUUUUGUUGACCCUAGGGGCAUGGGUCUCCGUGCUCUGUCAAAGGCACAAUUGGAUGAAAUUCUUACAUUAGCUGAGUGCACCAUUGUCGACUCUUUGUCAAAUGACUAUCUUGAUUCGUAUGUCCUUUCAGAGUCGAGCCUCUUCGUGUACCCAUACAAGUUCAUCAUCAAAACUUGCGGCACUACUAAGCUGCUUCUUUCAAUCCCAGCUCUGCUGAAGUUAGCUGAUUCGCUGUCUCUUACUGUGAAGUCUGUGAGGUACACUCGCGGCAGCUUUAUCUUUCCUGGUGCCCAGUCUUUUCCCCAUCGCAGCUUCUCUGAGGAAGUUGCUGUUCUCGAUGGCUAUUUGGCCAGGCUUGGCCUCAAUGGUUCUGCUUACGUGAUGGGAAGUCCUGAUGAAACGAGGAAAUGGCAUGUUUACGCUGCCUGUGCCAGUAUGGGGAAUCAAAGCAAUAACCCCGUUUAUACCCUGGAAAUGUGCAUGACUGGUUUAGACAAGGAGAAGGCGUCUGUCUUCUUCAAAACAGAUGCAAGUUCUGCUGCUGCAAUGACUGAAAACUCUGGUAUUAGGAAAAUUCUCCCAAAAUCUGAAAUAUGUGACUUUGAGUUCGACCCUUGUGGUUAUUCCAUGAAUGCCAUUGAAGGAGAUGCUGAGUCUACAAUCCAUGUUACUCCAGAAGAUGGGUUUAGUUAUGCAAGUUUUGAAGCAGCUGGUUAUGACUUCGAUGAUAUGAAUCUGUCUAAGUUGAUUGUGAGGGUGCUGGCAUGCUUCCAGCCAUCUGAUUUUUCUGUUGCCCUCCAUUCAGACGUUGUUGGUGAAAAUCUGGAAGACUUGCUCUGUCUGGAAUUGAAGGGGUACGAGGGUGGUGAGAAGAGCUGUGAAAUACUGGGGGAAAAUGGAACCGUCAUCUACCAGAGCUUUAUGAAGACUGAAGGAGAUUAUGCCUCAUCUCCAAGGUCGACCCUUUUGAAAUGUUGGAGUGAGGACGAGAAGGACGAGGAAGUUGGGAAGUAUUAGAACUUUCAUCAACUUUUACUCUAGCUAUUUUUUUUUUUAUCGUACUAGUAAUGAAUAAACGAAGAAGUAUCUUGGGGGGGUCUUGUUUAAGCUGCCUUGGGUGUGUUUAUGCAGCAUAUUAAAAGAGUCGUGUUCUUUCAUUAGUGUCUUGUUUUUCUUUUUCUUCGUUGUUGGAGUUAUAUUUCAUUCUGCAAAUAAUUCCCUGAUGGGAAAGCUUGUGUCCUUUAAUUCUGCCUGCUGUUGGUCUGCUUUUGCAUCGUAUUACGUUAUGAUGAAACUUAUCAAUCAUCUUUUCUUAUUUUAAUCAUGACUUGUUUGAAUAAAAUUUACUUUUGUUCUUUGCUUUAUUUAUGUGAUCAUGGGCAUCUGGAUGGUAUGCAGAUAGAUUUCAACCUUCUGUUUCUUUUUUGUUCUGCUUUGAUUAUUAUUAUUUAUUAUGAUUGGUGGAGGGUGCGGAAUAAUAGGCCAACUAUUGUGAAAAGUAGACAAUAAUGAGGAGACAAGGGAGGGAAGGAGUUAUUUGGCCAUCGAGUCUGCCAAAAAUUUGAGCAUUCCAAAACUUUGAAAGUUUCUUGGCUUUUUAGAUUCGAUGAAGUACAUCAAGUAUUGAUUAUGGUACAAGUUUUAGGGUGGAAGCUGUAUUUUGCUACAAAGGUAAAAUCAUCGUUAAUUGAUGAAUUGGAUAGAAAAGUGGUUUGAUAUGGCAAGAGGGACCUAGGUAAUGGAAUUAUGACUCGUUCUGAUGCAGAUGAAUGUUAGAAUUACUUUUCUCCUGGCCUACCCUAGACACUGAAUUUGAAUUUGUAGAGUGCUUCAACUCCAAAAGAUACCAUUGUAUGGCGAAUUAAUACCCUUGAAUAAUACACAUUUUGGAAGAAUUAGCCAAUAUUUAGGACCUCAAUAAAGAAAUUGGAGUCCUUUUGCUUGCAAGUCAGGGGAUUAAAAUGCAAAUAUGCACCCAGAAAAAGGUAACAUAAACCGACUUUUUUUUUUUUUUGGAAUCCAUUCCUGUUUUUACUAUUUUAGUUGUGUUUAGUAUUAGCAUAUUACUAAUGGCGAUCCACCAUAGGUUUGAAUAUGUUAUACUCUGUUUUUGUUGGGUGUUUGAAAUCUCACAUUUGUUUUCGAGUGGUUCCAAAAGCAAACUCAAGGAUUUAUCGGCGAUUAUCACACCAAAAAGAGGUUAGAGUUUUCAAGAUUAGAUUAACAAGGGAGGUGGGAUUAAGGAACUUGAAAGAAAAUGAGACUUGAGGAUUGACUAUAGAGAUAUUUGUGGACCAUUAACUUCCACCAAGUGGACCUCCAGCAGAUGGUCUCAUGUGUGCUUAUUAUCAAGUUGUAAUCUUGCUUAAAUAAUUAAGUUAAAAGCAUAGUUUUCUUAUUAUAUAAUUAAAAACAUUCGACUUGAUAAUGCUGGUAAUAAUUAUUGUAUGUCUAUUAAAAUAAAUGUCAAAUAACUUAUAGCUCAUGUUCAUACACAAAAUGAUUUAGCAUAACUAUUUAUAAAACGUUUGUAUUUACAUUGCUAGAGCAUUGCUUAUGAGAUCUAAACUCUCUACAUGGACAUUGCAAUUUUGCAUGUUGUGUCACUUGUGCAUAUUAUGCCAACAACUUAUUACAAGUAUUCACCAUUAUAGUUAACAUAUGACUAUGAGCAAAAUAUUUCUCAUUUGAGAAUAUUUGGAUGUGCAUGAUAUAUGUUCCAAUUGCUCCACCACAACGUACUAAUUAGAUGGAUACUCAAAUUAGGUUAGGAAUAUAUGUUGGAUUUGAUUCCUGGUCAAUUAUUAAAUAUCUCGAACUCCUUUACUACAUGAUUUGCUUGUUGUCAUUUUGAUGAGACAAAUUUUCUAACAUUAGGAGGAGGAAUUAAGAAGUUGAAAAAAGAAAUUUCAUGAAAUGUAUCAUUAUUGUCUCAUUUAGAGUCUCGUACAGAUGAACGUGAACUUGAAAUUCAAAAAAUAAUUCAUUUACAAAAUAUAGCACAUUAGUUAUCAAAUGCAUUUGUAGAUGUAAAGAAAGUUACUAAAUCAAUAUAACAAUUGCAAAUGUACCAUAAAAAAUUGAGAUCCCAACACAACAAGUUGUCAUUAAUGAGCCAAAAACAUAGUAGACUGGUAGGUUCUAAAGAUAAAAACCCUAAAAAAAAUUGAGUGAAUAACUCGAUUAAGAUAUGGAUGUUCUAGAAGAAAUCUGAAAUUUGAGUUAUAACAAAAAUGUCAAAGAAGAUAAAACAAUUGAAGAUAAUAAUGAGAUUUUGAUAAACUAUGUCAUGAUAAGAAAAAUAUGGAACCGAACUAAUAUAGUUGUUGACAACAUAUUUGCAUAUAACAUUGUUGUUGAUAUUAUAUUCGUAAAUGAAAAUCUUGUACUUGAAGAAUGUCGACAAAGAAAAAAUUGGUAUUUGUGGAAAGAAACAAUUAAGCCAGAAUUAAAUUCACUUUCAAAACGUCAAGUUUUUGGAUUAGUAGUCCAAACACCAGAAGAUGUUAAACCUGUGCGAUAUAAAUGGGUAUUUGCGAGAAAAAGAAAUGAAGAUAAUGAGAUCAUAAAAUAUAUAAAACAAGAUUAGUUGCGCAACAUUUUGCAAAAAGACUUAGUGUUGAUUAUGAGGAGACAUAUUCCGUGGCAAUGGAUGCAAUCACAUUAAGAUUUUUAAUUGGUCUGACUCUGUAUGAAAAUCUGGACACACAUCUUAUGAAUGUAGUCACAACAUAUUUAUAUGCAUCACUUGAUAAUGGUAUUUAUAUGAAAAUCUCACAAGGAUUUAAGAUAGCUGAAACAUAUAAAUCAAGUUCUUGUAAAUCAUUAUAUGGAUUAAAAAAAUCAAGAAAAAUGUGAUACAAUCGUGAGUGAAUGUUUGUUGAAAGAUAUCAAAGUAAUCCAAUAUUUUCAUAUGCUUUUAUAAAGAAAUCACUAUCUGGAUUUGUUAUUAUAACUAUAUAUGUUGAUGAUUUAAAUGUAAUUGAAAUUCGUGAAGAGCUUUCAAAGGCAAUAAAGUAUCCUAAGAAAGAAUUUGAAAUGAAAGAUCUCGAAAAAAAUAAAAUUCUGCCUUGGGUUAUAAAUUAAACAUUUAGCAGAUGAGAUCUUUGUUCAUAAAUAAUCUUAAACAAUAUUUAAAAAAAAAAAAUUAUAUGGAUAAAGCAUUCAUUGAAUAUUCCAAUGCAAGUUUGUUCACAAUAGAUGUGAAGAAAUAUAUAUUUCGACCACAAGAUGAUAAUGAAGAACUCUUAGGUUCAGAAGUACCAUAUCUUAGUGCAAUUGGUGCACUUAUAGAUUUUGCUAAUAAUACAAGACCUGAUACAUUUUCAGUAAAUUUAUUAGUUAGAUACAAUUCCUCUCCAAAAAAAAAAACAUUUGAAUGAAAUUAAACGUAUAUUUUUGUUAUCUUCGAGAAAUAAUUGAUAUGAAACUAUUUUAUUAAAAUAAAUCAAAUUUUAACCUAGUUCGUGUUGUAGAUUAUGGAUAUUUAUUUGAUGCAUACAAAACUAGUUCUCAAACAAGUUAUCGAUUCACAUGUGAGAGGAACUGAUAUAUCUUAGCUAUUAGUAAAACAACCCAUAAUACCCACCUCCUCAAACCAUGCUAUAAUUCUUGCAAUUCAUGAUGGCUAACCGAGAAUGUAUAUGGUUAAGAUCGAUGACUUAAUACAUUCAGAAAUAAUGUGGUUUGUCUUAUAAUAAACUUCUUUCAACAAUCUUAUACGAAAACAACACGACAUGUGUAACUCAAAUAAAAGGAGGUUAUAUUAAAGACAUAAAACAAAACAUAUUUCACCGAAACUUUUCUAUACUCAUGAUCUUGAAGAAAAUAACAACAUCACGGUAGAUAAUUUGACAAACUUAUUUACAAAAUCAUUAUCUACUGUAACCUUUGAAAAAUUGGUGCACAAUAUUGAAAUUGCAGAGACUCAAAGAUCUGAGGUGAUAUUUCCACAAGGAGUAAAUUAUAUUUUUGUAAGUGUAUACGUUAUAUAAAAUAUAUACUAUUUUUCCUUCAUUAUGAUUAUUUUCCACUGAGUUUUUCCAUAUUAAGGUUUUAAUGAGACAUAUUUCAUAUAUGUAAUGGGCAUUUAAGGAAAGAGAUGCUCAUUAUCGAAUCAAGUUUAGUGUCUAUAGCCACUUGUCACUUUCUAAAUUAUCUCACCCACUUGACAUGUGUAUUGAAGAUCUCUUAGUGGUGAAGUAAUCCACCACCUACUCGUCACUUUUCCUACGAAUAGAGAGGUUAGAGAGGUGGUGGAUUUGAUAUAGGAUAGAAUUCCAAAGUUGGAGAAAGUGGAGAAAUUUGACAACUUUCUUAAUAUCCAAUUUUCAUAAUUUCUUUAUUUUCUUAAUUAUUUAUAUAUUAUAUUUUAUCAGUUUCUGGGUUGGGCCUUCUACCAAUUCGAUUAAGAAUAUUAAAUAAUGGGCUGGGCUGGGCUGGUUUUGUACUCGUAUACCCGACCCGACCCAUCUUAUCCACAUUCCAUUAAGAAGAAAUGCAUAUUGCACCUUCUUCUUCUUCUUCUUCUUCUUUCUCUCCAUCUCCGAACGCACUCUCUAUGAUGUUAUCCAUGGCAGUUCAACUUCAGCCCAAUGUUAAUUUCUGUUUCAAUACCUCCAAUUUCACUGCCCAAACCGCUUCAAAACCGUUCAAACUUCCUUUUGCUGUGAGGCAAAGAACCACCGCUUCUUCCUGCAUUCCCAACUUCCAUACUGUUUUUGGCUUGCAAUUGAGGCGCCAGAACUUCAGAACUCAAGAAAUCUCUGCUUCUGCUGCGCCCAUUGAAGCUGUCGAAGCUGCUUCAGAAUUGCUUGUUGCUGAUGAUUCCGACUCCGUCUCUUCUCCUGUUAAGGAGGUCUCUCUCUCUCUCUUCCUCCCUUUCUAUCUCGUCUGAUUGCUCCGUUUAGUUUCGUUCGUUUUCAGCAAGUUGAAAAAUGAAUCCUUGUUUUUUCUGCUGGAUGGAGAUCGUCUGAUAUUUGGGGGAGAGCUACCGAAAGUUUGGUAAACAAACAGUACUGUCGUUUCUUAGUUAGUUGAGAGGGGCGGAUUUAUUGGUGAAUUUGGUUACUUGAAAGCUCGUUCUAUUUCUAAAUUUUUUUUGUUUCUUUUUUUAAAAUGUUCUUGCUUUCAUUUCAGUUUUUGGUUCUUUUCAAAGAAACUGCUUGAAUUCAUUGAGAUCCUAUAGCUUACUGUGGCUAUGUAUUGUACAUUGUUUGUUUGAUCGAGUAGUGUUGUUUUCGCUAUGAACACAUGGUAGAAAUUCUGGUAUAACGAAUUACUAAUACUUUGUGAGUAACUUGGAAGAUAGGUUCUAACAAGAAUGUUGAUGUUGAUUUUCAUGGAUCCCUAAAAGUUUAUAAUUUGAAAUGAACGUAUUGAAGAAGAUCAAUUCUCACACAGUAGUUAAAUGAUUGACGCAGCAUUAACAUUUAAUUGUUAAUUUUAUUAAUUCCAAAUUGAAGUUUGAAUAAGUAAUGAAUUAAUACUCCUUGUUGGCUGAAUUGCUAUUUUCUCUAGGUUUCUGGUUAUAUCUGUGUUAUUGUGAUUUGAAUUGGGACGUGGUUGGUUUUUUGAAUGCUCAUUUUAUUAUUGCCUUGCCUUGAGCAUUUAUUUAGGUUUGGUUUUGGUUUUUUGUUGUUAGGUUUGAGCACUGCUUUAAUUGUUAAACUUUAUCACUUUGUGGCUGGAUUUGGAUGUCUCCAAGUUUUGGAUAUUGUAUUUGGAAUUUGAUUUUUUUAGCUAAAUUUAAGUGAUAUUUUGCUGCUUUUCGAACAAUACUCUAGUUUCGUUUUGUGAGAUUUCAAUUUCAUCAAUAUUUCAGUUUAAAUUUCAAUUCGAUAAAGUUAUAACUUAGCCUCUUAGGCUAGUAUAUGUAGUUCUUUUCUUUUCUUUUCCCCUCCCUUUGUCCAUACCUUAUGGGGAUGCUUUUUGCUUGCUGAUUAACCUAGGUUUAGUUUGGAUUUGCGUAAUCUACCCCUAGAAUUUGUAAAGGAAUGAGUUGUAGAAAUCUUGGUAUGUGUAAAAUAUGUUUUGUUUAAGUUCAACUAUAAACCUGUGGUUUCAUUUUGUUAUAUGUAUGUAACCUUUGUUGUUGUAGCUUGUGGAAUUAGCUAACUGUUGACCUGUGGGAUAAGAAUCGUAAUUUGGAUAAAUAAGCUCAUGUACUAAAGUUUAGUCAUACCUCUUUGCUAUCUUAACAUUCAGCUACACAAAUCCAACUUGUGUGCUAAUCAAGUCCUAAAGAUAUCUUUUAUGUUACACUAAAUAAUUUCUAGAACAACUCUAAGCAUAUGUAGUUUCUUAACAAGUAUUUACUAUAAACAAACUCAUACUUUCCCCACUUGGCUUUACUUUAACCAUAUUAGGAGUCUUAGAGGUAAUCUCCCUCCCUUUGAUAAGAUGAUAUCAACAUCAAAUACUGAAACGGACUGUACAACAGUGAAAAUCUUUUGAUUCUCAUUAUUUUUGUGAAACACAAUUAAACAAGUACUGGUAUUUUGAUUUUAUAGUUUCCUUUUGCUUUUACAAAUGAAAACUUGAGCAAAAUAGAUUUAUCAGGAAGCCCUUCUCUGGCAAAUUAUACAUUUUGACGAUUCAUUUUUUAAUGUUAUAGAAACUGGGAGUGGUUGUGAAACCGAUGGAAAAGCCAAGGCUUGUGCUAAAGUUUAUAUGGAUGGAGAAGAACAUUGGUAUUGCACUUGAUCAAAUGAUUCCUGGUCAUGGAACUAUUCCUCUUAGCCCGUACUACUUUUGGCCUCGGAAAGAUGCAUGGGAAGAACUCAAAGUCUUACUUGAGAGCAAGCCCUGGAUUUCUCAAAAGCAGAUGAUUAUUCUCCUUAAUCAGGCAACUGACAUCAUCAAUUUGUGGCAGCAGGGUGGAGGCAACCUGGCUUAAGCUCCAAUGUAAAAAGUUUCAAAUUUUUUUGAUAGUGGUCUUAGAUUGUGACUAUUCUUGAAUCGUACGGCUGUUCAGAUGUCCUUUUUCGUAUAUUCUGAAGUAAUUUUAUAAUUUAUAAAUGACUCAUCUUUUGUUGUAUAUUAUGUUGGUUGUGUAACCCAUCUACAGUUCACAUUUUCCGUUGAAAGUUUUGUUCAUAUUCAAUAUGAAAACCUAUUAUUUUAUGCAUUUAGCUGGGGAAGUUUCUGAGAAGUUUAAGGAUAAUUACAUGAAACAUUUAAGCUUUUUUGUUGUAAUAAUUUGAAGCUGAAAUGUUAUGUUUAGCUCAUAGUUUAAACAUGUCUGGGUUUCUAAAGCCUGAAGUUGGGAAAUAAAAAAGGUUAUUUUCUAAAGCAAAUAUUUGUGUAACAAAUUUGUAGGAUUAACAGAUCCAUAAUUGUUAAUCCCAUAAUCUGGUAUAAAUAACUCACACAUCAAAUAUAAGUUUGACUCCUAACCUGAAGUAGAAGUUACAUAAACCUCAACCUUUAAAGACACUUGUCUUGUAAGCUUUCUUCCUUCAAGUAAAUUUUGCUUUUUGUUUUUGUCUUGUUUUGUAUUUUUGUUCAUUUUUCAUUUGUAUACAAGAUUUUGUUAGAAUACUGAAUUUAAGAGAACUUGGCAAUAUCGAAAAUUUCUUUGCUAUCUAUCCUAGUAUUAGUUACAUUAUUUUCAACCAUAUAAAUGUAUUGUACUCGAAUAACAAUCUCUGAAAAUAUAAUAAUGUUUACAUGUCUGUCCUAGCAAAAUUGUUCGUACCCUUUUAUUGAGAAAUAAGAAACUACUGAUCGUAUACUGGGUCCAAAAGUUUCACUACACGUUUCCUUCCAAUCUAGAUGUGACUAGCCAAUAAAUUUACUUUGAUUCGUGAACUCUUAUAUCUUCUUCUGAAAUUUCUUUUCCACUGGCAACUUCAUUAUCUGUAUUGGUUAUCUUGUCGCCGUCUGACUCGUUGUAGAAGAUUGAAUUUGGUUUUGAUGAUUGCUCCUUCAUAUUGUUAACAUCUGAAUCUUUUAGAGCAAAGGAUGUGCUUUCUUUGGCAGGUUCUUUUGGUAACUCUUCUUGAUUGGUUUCUUCCAUGUCAGCAUCUUCAUAUUGAGAACUGCAACUUUCAAGUUCAACAGGACAAAUCUUUUCAAAACUAAAUCUGUCGUCUGAAUAGUCAAUCUUACAGGAAGAUAUUCUUUCUUCUUUUGUAUUAAGCUUAGGUUCAUAAGAACUAUUCAAAUCUGAGCCUUUUCCAUUCUUUUGUAGAUGAGAGCCAUCUUCAUGAUCUGAAUCAAUAUCCUGUGAUUUGGACUUUGAAAGGUUGAUUGCAGCUUUAGCUGCUAAUGCUGCAUAAGCUGCCGAUUGGAAGGGUUCUUCAGUGGCACUAGCUACAUCUUUAAACUUCUUUGAUUUCACUAAUUCCGAUGCCAUCUUUUCACUUGUAAUAACUUCAUGUAGAUCAUCUGUGGUGUUUGUGACUUCAGGAUUAUACAAAUCUGCUUCUUUCUUGAUUUCCAACUUUUGGUUUUGCUUUGCCUGCAGUUAACAGAUGAAUUUUUUACUAAAAAGUUAACUUAGGAAGUAGAAGCACUCAUUUUCUAUCAAGGUGAGGAACAUACGGCUCUUUGGUGACACUUUUUCCUCUUCUAAUCGCUUUUUCUUAGUUUAAAAUAAAGCACCUUUCCAUUCAAGCUUAUAUUUUUUAGUUAGCAAUUGGCGCUCCCUUAUGUAAUCACCUUUUUUGAUGUUUGGGGCUCUUCACUAUCAUAUGAAUGAAAUGUUUCUUUUCAUUAUAAUUAAAAAAAAAAAAAAGAUAUUUCCUCACCUUGAUGAUUAUUGGUGAUUCUUGCUCUAAAUGGAGAGGAAUGCCAUUUUCUGAAGCAAUUUCCUUUAGCACUUUCAGUUUAGUUUCGGCACUGGGCUGUUUUGUUGAAAACUUUUGAAUCAUCUGUAAUAUGGAAACUGUGGUUAUUAAGUGGAGAUUAUAUAUUCGAACAACUAAUUCGUUUCUUGCAGUUGGUAAGUAUCAAACUCACCUUGGUACUAACACCACAGUUGUUGCGUAAAUCAAUGGCACUGCUUGCAAACUCCGCACCAAACUUCAACUCGAAAAUCCGACGAAUCUCUUGAAGUUCUGGAAACUCUCCGCACCUUGAAGCUGCAAAUAUCAGACUCGAUAUCGCCUCCUUAACUUCGCCAGGGCAUUCCCUGCAUUUAAGCCGAAAGAGAAUCAGAAAAGGUUUCAAAUCUUUUAAAAGGCCUGCAUCCAAAGUUGACAAAAAUGACAUAGUGAAAUUCUAGGAAAGAAAGGUGACCUACUUGUUCAUCUGAAGAAGAGCCACCUUUUCUACGAGAAGGCAGCAGUAAUCCUCUAUCAUUCCAAGAGCAUCCAACAUGUUAUUCUCCUUGAUCACAAUCUCAACCUGUUCAUUAACGUUCACAUCCAAGCUCAGCGGUUGGAAAAAAAGAAAAAAAUGAGAAGGGGCUGAACUAUAGAGUUCUGAAAGAGAGAGAGAAAAAAUUUACUCUAAGCUGAGCACGAUGUUGGUAACUAAGAUUCAACAGUUGAAGAACAUCGGCACGAGCUAGGGAGCAACGGGCGCGGUGGUGGUUUUUUAGGAUGGAAGUCCUAGAAAUGGCCAUAUUAGCAAGGGUCUUAAACUUGGAAGCCUUCAAAUAUCUAUUCCUUCCCAGUAAAGCAUCCAGUUUCCUUCCCAUGAUGGAAAAACCUUAAAUUCUGUUUGCUGCUUGUUUGCCUGUGAAAAGCUCUUGAAUGAACUACUUUUUGGUUGUUGGUUGCGGACAUUGCCUGUGUUUUAUAGGGAAGAUGCAUGAUUAACUAUUUUACCAACAUUCACAUGCAUAAUUUAUUUAUUUUUUCCUUAAAGCAGGUCAGAGAAUUGGCUCCCAUUAUUGACUUUGAAAUAGGCGUUGAUUAGUGAAAUUUCCAGGCUUUGAAUGGUUCAAACAGAAUUGACUAUGGAGGUAUUAGCAGGCGGCUUUGGUCUGGAAAAUGACAUUACUUGGAAAUGGGAAGCUUCUGAGGUAUUAUGUCCACUUCUAGUCAUUAUGAAUUACUUCUCCUUUAAUCAACUCAUUUAAUUGGUGAAAGGUGCUUUCUUUUUUCAAAUACUUUUUGUUCUGCAAAAACGUUCAAAUAGAAUUAUUCAGUUUUCUGUUAUAUUUUGUUGUUAUGUGCGUUGAAUGGGUUUUAAAAGAAAUAUUUAAUUAGUUGAGUUUGGGAGUGAUUUCAGUAUAAAAUCAUUUUUGUCAUGUCUUUCUCUAAAAUUGUGAUCUUUGAUUAUCAUGAAAAAGUGAUUUCGGAUCAAUCACUCUAAAGGUGGUUUUUGUUGUGGGAAUGUCACUUGUGAGUGAUUUCUUUUUUUUACAAAGACUAUUAUUUUAUAUUGAAAAAAUAUUCUCCUAUUUCACUUUAUUUUGUACUAAAAUUUUUAGAAUAUAUAAUAGAUCUAUUUUGUUAAAAUUUCUAUUAUCUUACCAACACUCUUAAACAUUGCUUUCUAUUGAUCGUCAACAAAAGUUUUACUUAAAGUGACAUUUAUUUGUACCCAAUUGAGAAAUGGGCCCAAUUCGGGUAUCCCACACGGAAAACAUUCUGUCUUUUAUUGUCAGGGCUUGUUCCUAUACAACAAAUAAAAAGAAAAAGGCAGGCAAAUUUCCCUAUUCACAAAUCCAUUGAAAAAAAAUAAAGGUGAGAUGAUAUUGACUGGCUUGUAAUAUGAUAAGAUUCAAUGGGUUUAAAAAUUGAAGUUUUCUUGCAAAAGAAAUGUUCAUUUGAGAGAAAAUUGUUCAUGAUUUUGUCGAAGUCUACGUCUUUGAUUUUGUAAAACCCAUUUUCGUACUAGAUGUAGUAGAAAGAUUUGACCACUUUGCAAAUCUCCACUUCCACUUUCUGUUUGAGUGUGACUGUAGAACUUGUUGGAAAUUGGCUGAAGAAGAUUCUUAAAAGAACAGUGGAAGGACGGAGCGAGAAGAGAGAGAAGGGAGAUACAACAAACCUCCUUUCUGGGUGUGUAAAUUCUCAACCAAAUCUGUUUAAUUCAAAGAACCAUGUUUCAUACCCAAAUUACAAUGAGUUUUAAUCCUAUUUUAAGCUACAAAACUUACCUUAGCCACUCAUGACGUGCUGAGAUGACUGUCACACCCUUCAAAUUCACCUACUUAAAUUGAGAUGAGAUGCAACUAGCAAGAGAAGUGUCAACAAGGUGACACUCCACACCAAGAACGCAACUUGAAUGAUUCAAGGCAUAAUUUUCCUACUCCCUGCUUAGCUUAUCACUUAGAUGCUUUUAGCACAUUUGAAAAUUUAAGUUGAAUGCUAAAAAUGCUCAAUGUGAUGGAUAACAAUGAAUGCACAAAAACUUCUCAUUUUAUUUACUCAAACACCCGUUUCAACUCUACAACUUGACACUAAAUUUUAACUUAUUACAAUACGGUUGCUUCUUGUCAUUCGUCAGCUUACCUCUACCCCUACAAGUUAUGCUAGGUGUUUGUUAACUUUCUAUUAGAGUUCGGUAAAAAAGUACCGCAUAACUAUAAUGCUCCCGAAUACACGUUAUUAAGUGAUCCCGUAGAAACACAUUUGGGCUCUUGGUGAACACGAAGGAAACAUCCUAAGAGAGUCGGGCUGACUCUGUCGAAUCACUCAUAAAAUCUAGCCACACAUGCAUAAGUAGGUGGUGAUUUCGAGAGACACCCAUAUGGUACGACUCUAACCGACAAAGUUAAUAGAACAACAUAGCCUAUACAUGUAGCAUAUCAUAAAUAUCAUAUCUCAUCAUAAUGUAUCUCAAUCAUUGGAUAUCUCAAUCAUAACAUAUCUUAUUAAUAAGAUAUCAUGGUCAUCACAUAUCCCAGUCGUGUGUAUCUCGGUGUCUAUGUAGUCAUCAAUAUCAGUCAUCCCUAAUAGUCACAUCAUGCAUCAUAGUUACGAUAAUGCAUAAUAAGGUAAAACAUACAUGCCCGGCCUUUAUUCUAAUGCUGGGUCAAAAUAAUCCUGCAAUCAAAGCAGGUCCUAAAUAGUAAAAGAAACUAAAAUUAAUAAAAUUAUCGAUUGGUUAUUGAACCCAAAAUCAACUCAAUUCAACUUACCCAAAGUUGAGGUUGAAUUCCCGUUCAACCAUGGUUAAGGAGAAAUUCGUGGAAGUUAAUUCUUUUAAUUUAGCCUAUUACCCUUCAAGCAAAAAAAAUCCAAAUCAACUUAAUUAAGGUCCAAAAAUAUAACAAUUGACGUGUAUAUCUGACACCAUCAAAACUCACCCCGAAUGGCUCAAUAUAGGUGAAGAGUGGGCAAAAUGGUGCAAAGUAGCUCGACUUGUUCGGAUGGCUCAACCUGGAUGGAAGGAUGGCUCAGAUGGUGGCUCAGACGUGAGAAGAUCGACUCGAGUGAAGAAAGAAUGGAGACUCUUCGGCUUCACGAUGGCGGAGAGUCGCGGCGAAGAUCCACACGUUGGAUCGAAGGAAACUUGGCUGGAGGCUUCGCUGGGUGGAAUGCGACGGCGGAAGAAAGAUGGAGCUUAGCGGCGACAGUGGCGCACAACGGCUCGCGAGCCAAAGAUGAACGCGCGAAGACUAGCUUCGUUUGUGCUUGGACGGUGGUGAACAUAGUCUGUGGUGGUGCGACCUUUAAUGGAGAUCGGUGAACGGAGAAGAAAAGGGCGACAACUAGGUUUUCAAGAGAAGGAAGAUCAUAUAGUUUCCUUCUUUUGUUUGCACUAGUAGGGGUGAAAUCCGGUUGGGUUGAUAGACAUUCUCAACUCAACCCAUAUUUUCGGGUUAUUUUGGUUGGCAACCAACUCGAAUAAUCUGAUUUCCAACCAAACCGGUUGUAUUUGUUUUUUUUUUCCUUCUCUUGUUUCUAGUUACAUUUAAAUUGGAUUGUAUAAGCUUGUUACAUUUAAAUCGGGUUGUAUAAGUUUGUUACAUUUAAAUCGGGUUAUAUAAGUUUGUUACAUUUAAAUUUCAAACAUACAUAAUUCAAAAUUUUAUAGAACAAAAUCAAGGUAAGCAUUUAUAAGUUCAAAGUUACAAACACAAAUAAAUUCAAAAUUACAAAUAUAAAUAAAUUCAAAAUUACAAACACAAAUAAAUUCAAAGUUCUUAAUAUACAUAAAUCCAAAUAGUAUUUAUCCUUCAAAUGUAGUCCAAAUUUGAUUGACAAUAUCAUCUCUUACUCGGGCCAUUUCUCUUAGAUGAUGCCGACUCACAUCUAAUUCAAUUAUAUUAAUUUGCAAAUUGACUCACAAAUUUUGUGUAUUUUCAACGAUCAAUGAUUCAUUACUAAAGUCAUUGAAUAGGUCAUCUUGACGAUCAUUCAUUCAAAUAUAAUUCUUAAUUAUGCAACAUGCUAUUGAUAUAUAUUUUUGUGUCUUUAUCGAAUACAAAGUCAUUUACUUAAGAAUAGAAAAUCGAGCCUUCAACACACCAAACCAACGUUCAAUGACAUUUCGAAGUGUAGAAUGUCGAUAGUUAAACAAAUAAAAGUAAUUGAAAAAAAAAGGAAAAAAAUCCAAUAAAAAUAAUUGAGAAAAUGAAACAAAUGAAACAAAUAGAAAUAAUUAAGAAACGGAACAAAAGAUAAACUUUUUUUUUUUGUUCCUAUUAAUUCCUUAUCAAAUAGAAAAUAUUUCUAUUUUUUUUAGAACGAAAAACAUGGAACGUUACCAAACACUCCGUUUCUGAAAAAAUGAAAACAUAAACAGAAAAAGGAGAACGGAGAACGAAAACGUUACCAAACGGGUCCUAAUAAAUUACUUAUUAUUACUGAUAGAUACUAAUAGACUCUAAUAUUAAAAUUGUUUUCAAUAGAUGUCUAUUAAUGUCUAUUAUGAAAUUAUGAAAUAUUUAUAAAUAUUUUCAGCCCAUUCUAUGAAUUUAAAAAAAAAAUGCAUUUUUAAAAAACAAAAUAAAUUAAAAUCUUUACCAGCUAUAACAAAAUUUUGGAUUUCAUCAAUAAUAAAAGUUUAUGGACUUCCAUCAAAUAUAUAUCUAAGAUGAUGGAUGGGCAAACUUGGAUAAGUUUGUGUUGAAAUUUUGAUACGACGAGACAAUGCAAAUACCGGCAUGCUUUUAAUUGUUUAAUUUUUGUAAGUAUUUGCAUAAUUAUUUAGGAGAACAUAUACAAUUUUAUUAAUUUUAUAGGAAUGGUGGGUAUGGGUGUGAAUCAAUUUGCUUCGACAAAAUCUUUAAAAUUUUCAUGGAAACAAGACGAAGUUCAACGUCAAAAUGAACGCAAUAAUAAGAACUAAACUUGCAACUUCUCUAUAUUUUUAUCUUUGUUUUCUUGAAAGGCUUAAAAUUGAUUGAUUAGCCAAGUAAACCUAAUUGAUGCUAGUGAAUGUUUGUUCAAAGUUUGACUAUACUCAUUAAGAUGCAUGUUUUUUCAUUAUACGAGAACAAUCAACACUUUCUACUUAAUUUUAUUUUAAAUUCUUAGCUUUUCAUUUGUGUGUGGGAGGAAGCAGUGGAAUAAGAACGAUAUGUGACUAUUCGUGUAUAAUCGAUCAGAUCUUUUUAAUUUCCAUGACUUGUAUUCUUUUAUGAAAAUAUAUAUAUGCAUUUUAAAAAUCCAACCAACUCGUAUAACGGAUAUAACUGCUCGAUUAAUGACUUCAAAUAUUAGUUUGUAAAUACGUUUCUUUCUUCAAAUUAGGUUUUCACCUUUUCAUAAACAAAUAUCUCUCUCAUUAAAUUUUUUUGUCAUUUUUAUAAAGUCACAAAGUUGAGUUGUUCGUUGGAUCUUGUGAGCUAGAUGUUGCUUAAUUCUAUAAGACAGAUAACCUAUAUAUCCAGUGAGUUCUUGAAACUUAGACAUUAGAGUGAGUAAAUCAAAUAAUUUAAAUCGACAAUAUUACUUAUUUUCUGUUUUACUUUCUUGACCCCAUACAUAUUACAGAUUUACAUAAAAGGAAAAAAAGAAACAAUUUAGACAAUAUAUAUAAAUAUAAAUAUGUAGUGCUCGGAUCUAAACAAUUUCAGUUUUUUUAUUAAAUUAAACAUCAAAUGGAAUAUAUUAUUUUUCAUUUGUUUCACAUCAAUCAAUUAACAAAGCUUACUUACCGAUCCACCAUUUGUGAAUAAAUUCAUCACGAUUAGCGGGGUUGUUUUUCAAAUAAAUUCCACCAUCUUUAGCAACCCAAAUACAAGUUGCUUCAGGCCCACACCUAUCACGAAGCCAAGUGUUACUCCAUGACUCAGGCCAAAAGACUUCAAAAGAGACGUAUGCAUCUGACUUCUCCAAUGUACACCAAAACAAAGUUGUUCCCCAAAAGUUUUCCUUAAAGCUCCAUUUAUAAGUAUCUCCAUGUUUAACCAAAUGAUGAUUUCCCAAAUCAUCAUUCUUUGAUUGACAAUGCACAUUCAAAUCGAGGUGACUAAGCCCGUUUAUGAUCGAAACUGACCAACUCGGGACUUGAGCCCCGACCAAAGCUGCUGUGGCAAGCCACAAAACCACCACAUUUCUUAUCAUCAUUUUCCUUUUAACCAUGGACACUUGGUUUUAUAUAUAUAUAUAUAUAUUUCUUUGUUGCUAUUGAUGUUUUGGCAUCUAUAUAUGUGGGACUAAAUAUACAUACUUAUACUUAUAGCACAGUCAAGAAAUUGAAGAAAUUGAAUGUUAGGGUUUCAAUUAUGAGAAAAAACGUUAAUCUCGUGCAUUAAAUUUUCCUCUACAGUUAUGAAAUGUUAUCAAUGCGUUAGUAACUGUCAUGGAGUUAUUAAAUACUCAAAUAUUUGGAUUCAUAUAAUAUUUUCACGUUAGUCUUUGUAUAGAAAGUAUAUAACUUCACCUAAAAUUGUGUAAAAAACACAUUAGCAUAAAAGAAUUAACACGAACUUGAUGGGUUAACAUAAAAGUUAUCCAUAAAUGUUCAUGUUUAAUAAUAAAGUUCAAGAUACACCACAAUCUAAACCUACAAAAAUAAAAAACCUAAUUGUUUUUUUAUUAAAUAAUAUAUUAUUAUUAUUAUUAUUUAUAUAUAUUAUAUUAUUUCAGGUUGGGUUGUACCGAAUUUCUCAACCCUCCAACCCGAAAAAAAAAAAAAAUAAUCCAACCCAACCCAACCCUUAUAAUAUGGGUUGAGUAGUCUCGAUUAUUCGAGUUCAACUCAUAUUCUUAGACCUUUAGCACGUGGAACGAAAAGAAAAAGAAUUAAAAAAAUCAUAAUAAUAAUAAUAUCAAUAAUAUAUUUUUCUUUUUCUUUUCCUUCCUCUUUUCCAAUAAAAUCUUUCUUUCUCCAUUUAAUAAUUUACAUCCUACCAAUCUUUUACUUUUUCCCCAAAAUAUAAAAAUGUAAUAAAUCCUAUUUUCUUUUUCUCAUUGAAUUCCAUCAACUCAUCUCUCUUUUCAUCUUUUCAAAAUCAAAACUUAAUAAUUAUAUUAUUUCCAAUAAUAUAAUUAUUUACCUUCCAUAACCUAACUAAUUAUACAUAUAUAAUUCACCAAUAUCCUUAAAUCUCACCAAAUUAAAACACCAAAAUCAUUCAAUCUUUCUCAAAUCCAUAACAAUACCAAAAAUUUCAAUUUCAAUAAUUAAAUAUUUUUCCAAUAAAUACUUAAUUAAUCUUAAUUUCCACAAAUUCAAACAAUUCUCUUCAAUUAUCUAAAAUAACACCUAAAUAAUUCCAUCAUAAAUUAAAUUCAACUAAUAUAAUUAAAUUUAAAAUCACCUUAAUUUUUGGGUAUUACCGUUAAGCUCAAUACGCUCUUUUUACGCAUUGACUGACUUCAUUUCGUCGUGCAGUCAUUUUCUAUAUGAUUGUCUUUACCCAUUAUGUGCAUAUAGUAGCUAGCUUACUGAUAGGAAUAAGAGUAAUGAUUUACUUGCAAACAUAACAUACAAUCAUGAAACUUUAACUUGAAAACAUAGCAUAACAACUUUUUUUAGGACUGGAACUUUCUUAUAAACAUUAAAGUGAAAUAUAACAUUACAAGACAUCAAAACAUAAGAAGUAAGCCUUUAAGAUCUUUAAUCAACUUUGGAAAAUCACUUACUAUAAUUCCUUUCCUUAGAACGCCUAGCUUCAAAUCUCCUCUUCUUGCCUAGUAGCAGUUCAACUGUACCACACUUAGCUUUUCCUUAGCAAAAUAUCAGACUAGCCUCCUUCUCUUCCGUCCUUUUGUCUUAUAUAUACUAUUCCCAAAUUGGAUUAGUCGUUCUUAAACUUUCAUGAGCUUACAAGCUCCUGCUUAAAGUGCUACAUGUGUAAGUUUAAUGUUUCUCUUAACCAUGCUUAAACUUAGCCUUACACGUAAACAGUUGUCAAGUCAAGAUUAGACAUUCCCUUGCUUGCUAUAUUCUUGUGUUGCAUUAAAACGCCUUCCUCCUUGCGUUAUUAAACAAGAACAGAUUCUUCUUCACGUCGACAAGCUUCAAUGCGAACAUCAAAAUGCCUACUUGUUCUCAAAAUGCUUAAAUCCUCAAAAUACUAUCCUUUAAACACAUUUUUCAAAAUCCUCCAAUCACAUCCCUUACUUCCAAAGUGACCUUUCCAAUUAAGACUCGAGUCUCAUAUUAACGUUCCUUAAUCUUACCAUCUCAAGUCCAAAAUCCGAAUCUCCUAACAGGUGUUCGUCUUUCAUUCCUUACCUUAAGCAACUAACUUCUCUACCCAAAAUCCCAUAACAUCCCAAACUUCACACUUAACUCAUUGCCAACCUUGCCAAUGCCAAUCUCAGUGCUUCUUCUAAAAACUUCACCUCGUUCUUCUCAAUUUCUCACCUCACCUUCAACUUCACCUCCUUAUCUUGGUAUUAACUCUUAAUGCAUUGAGAUAGAUGUAACAAUAAGCCUUAAUGUUGCAAUAAAUUAAAAAAGGAUAGAUGUAUAGGUUUAUCUAUGAAGCACAAACACUCUUUUAUAAAGAGAGUAACAAUGUAAGACACGAACACAUGAGGACAUGGACUUGACACAUUAGAGGGCACGCAAGAAGGGACACACUAGAGGGCACGCAAGAACGAAGACACUUGCACUUUUUAAUAGUGCAUUUGAAAGCUAUCAUAAAUAGAAAAUUGAUAAAAGAUUUACAAUUCAUACAAAGAUGAAUUGUAAUAAAUUUGGUCUAUUAUUGUUUUUUUUAAUACACAAAGUAAAUAGUCUGUUAUUUAUUUAUUUAUUUGAGAAAACCUCAUUUUUUAGUAUCGUUAAAAUAUAAUUUUAAAAAAUAAAACACACCCUUUUAUUCUUUUAACGUUCAUUCCCCAUCGUUAAAAUCAACCCCUAGCGCUCUUCACCUCUGGUCCUCUCCAAUCUUCAAGGCCCCUCCCCUCCGAUCAGACGACGCCGGCGACCGCCCCUCACCUCUCCUAUCAGACGACGUCCGCGACGUCUGCUCACCAUUUCCGAUCAGACCAGCUGCGCUCGCCCUCCGUUUUGGUUACUUGCUGUCUGGGUUUAAAGGUUUUUCCCCCCUUUUUUUUCUUGUUUGUGUAUCAAUGUUUGAGGAAUGUUUCAACUGGUCUGCAUAUAUAUAUAUAUAAAUACAUAUAUAUAUGCUUUUUUAUUCGUUACUUCAUAUUAAUUCGUAGUCCCAAUGGAGAUGUUGAAAUUUAUAUGAAUGGUGCAUUUAAUUUUUUCUAAUGUAUUUAAUGUGGAAUUUGUACAUAUAUGGUGUGGGUUUUUGGAAUAUUAUCUGGAUUUUUUGGUAUGGUUUAAUCAGAUUUGAGAGACAUGAUGUGUUCUUUGGAAAUGUGUAUCUUAAUGUUUUUGUUUUGAAAACAUUUUUUAAUGAAUUCAUUCUAUUUUUUAUACUAGAUGCCACCUUCCUUCUCAUCUACAUCUACCAAUAGUAGUGAAUCAUCCACGUUUUACAUUUUGUUUUGGAUGAAAGUGUGAUCUCUAUUUAGGAUUUUGUAUUUGUGUCGUAGUUUGGAACAUUUUAAUGAACUCAUAAAACUAAUGUACUCUUUAUUUAUGUUUUAAAGAAGUAUUGUUAUGUUCUAAUGUAUAUGAGUAAUUUAUCUACAAGUAUUAUCACAUAUAUUAUUUAAAAAAAUAAAAAAAAUUAUAACAUCCUCCUGGCUGUCUCUGCACCCCUACCUCCUUUAUCACUGAGCUCUCUUUACUUCUUUAGAAAUUUGGCGUUGUUUCGUGUGUUGGUGUCUGUACUUCCUGGAGGCUUAUGGUAUGGGGGAGUGUUAGUUUUGUCUUUCGUGUGGUAAAAUAGAAAUGAUGGCUAAGGUAUAUGGACCAAUAAACCGUAGAUAAAGAUAUAGGGCAUGUUUGAAAUAGUUAAAAUCACUUUUGACAUUUCAAAAUCAAUUUUGAUGUUAUGAAAAUUGCAUUUAAAAGUGCAAAAGAAAAUAUUAAAUUUAUUUUGAGUUAUUAAAGACCUGUUUGGAGCGAUUUCAUCACAAAAAUGAUCUUAACAUCAAAUAUUACUCCCAAACACGCUCGUAGCUUAUGAGUAACAGCAUAUUUGCAAAUGAAACCAUGUCUAUAACAGAGGUUAGUAACAUCAGUUUUGUUAGGAGAAAUGAACAUAUUUCUAAAUAACUAAUCUCUCAAGAAGCCUAAUGUUAGUCUGGGGAGAUUGAAUGAUUAUGUUUAUGUUACUUUUGAAAUUGCACUGAGGUUUGUAACGUAAGUUUAUGUUAAAUGAACAUAUUUCUAAAUAAUUCAAUCUCUAAAGGAAACCUUUUUCUGGAUACCUAUUGGUUAUAACUCCCAAAAUGAUACUUCUACAUCAGAUGAUUAGAUGUUUUUAUUUAUGAUAAAAAUAGGAUACGUCCCAAAGGCCAAUGCUAGAGAAUUCUCUCCCCAAUGAUGAUUUUGGGAUGGCUUGAAAAUUUGACUUCCAAAAGUCAUCUGAACUCUCCUUACAAGAGGUUACGAUCGAGCUUGUUCGACAAGCUACUAAAGUUACGUACACACAUAUAAAGGACAUUCUAAUUAGUAAAUAGAGGUCGUAAGAUAAUUUCCAUUAUUUGUUAUCAAAGCAAAAGCAAAAUCAUUGAUAGAGCUUUUUAUGGUUAAGUUGGAAUCAAUAUUGUUUUCGUAAUAAUUUUGGACAUUUGGAGCUAUAGAAAGGAUUCGACCCAAAAUGUGACAUACGUUUUUCUUUAAGAUCCUGCAUGCAGAUUCUCUAACAAGUCAGCAUGGGGGAAGUAAAAGAAAGCAAAACCAUGAAGAACAAGGUUGAUUUGGACAACCACGAUGACGCUUUUUGGUGGUUGAUUCAUAAAGGAGUUAAAGCUAUUUUUUUGUCCAUAUCUUUAUUUGCUUUGCUGGUUCGAUUGGCAGUCUCCCUUCAUCCUUACUCGGGUGCUGGGAACCCUCCUAAGUAUGGUGACUAUGAGGCACAGAGGCAUUGGAUGGAAAUCACCAUCAACCUUCCAGCUAAGGACUGGUACAUGAACAGUACCACAAAUGACCUCAACUAUUGGGGACUUGAUUAUCCACCCCUAACAGCCUAUCAGAGUUUCAUUCAUGGUCUUUUCCUCAAGUUAUUUGAUUCAGAUUCAGUUUCACUGUUUACUUCGCGAGGUUAUGAGUCCUAUUUUGGGUGAGUAUGAUUAUAUUUUACAUCUUUUAAUAAACCACUCUAUUUUUUUCUUCAGACUUCAUUACAUUUGAAGUUUUCUCCCUUUUGUUGGCUUCUUUGCAGAAAACUUCUAAUGAGAUGGACAGUUUUAUCCUCCGAUGUGCUGAUUUUCUUUCCUGCAGUUUUCUAUUUUGUUCUUGCAUAUUUUAGUGGUAACUCCAGGUUUCAUAAAAGUGAUAUAGCAUGGCAAAUUGCAAUCCUUCUCAUCAACCCAUGUCUCAUCUUAAUUGAUCACGGGCAUUUUCAGGUUUUUACUCGUACAUAGCUAUGUUUUCAUGCGUUUUCUCAUAUAUAUAUUUAAAAAUUUUUCUUUUAAAUUUGGAAGCAUGUUGAGUCUUCACCUUUUAUCCUUUGUCACAGUAUAACUGUAUAAGCUUAGGCCUUACUGUGGGAGCUAUUGCUGCCAUAUGUACGGAUAAAGAUCUUGUGGGCAGUUUUCUAUUUACUCUUGCUCUGAAUCAUAAGCAGGUACCUUUCAAUUGUCUCUUUCCUAAGCAUUAUAUGUUUACUUUUUGCUCAAAAUAAAUAACAUAGUCUUUUUUUUUCCGUCAGUGGCACAUAUGAUUCUGUUAAAUGGUAGAGAAGAGAACACAAUGUUUACAUGGAAAACCCUAUAACAGAAAAAAAAAAACCAUGUUUGAGUCUUCUUUUAUUUUGACCUAGCUUGAAAGUUACAAAAGAAGACAACUUUAUAGGCUCGAGCAAGCGCUAAUACGAAAAAGGAAAUAAACAUAGGGUAAAGUAAAAUACUAAAAUACCCUCAUGGCUAUAAACUAUCAACAAACACCCUUAUUUCCGUCACUCCUCCUCAAGUUGAGCGUACAUUUCAAUCA